Molecule: ribosomal RNA, 404 nt
Filed under: Actinomycetes bacterium
Lineage: Bacteria; Bacillati; Actinomycetota; Actinomycetes
Description: Actinobacteria bacterium partial 16S ribosomal RNA
Rfam family: Bacterial small subunit ribosomal RNA
Source: RNAcentral
UGGGGAAUAUUGGACAAUGGGCGCAAGCCUGAUCCAGCCAUGCCGCGUGAGUGAUGAAGGCCCUAGGGUUGUAAAGCUCUUUCACCGGUGAAGAUAAUGACGGUAACCGGAGAAGAAGCCCCGGCUAACUUCGUGCCAGCAGCCGCGGUAAUACGAAGGGGGCUAGCGUUGUUCGGAUUUACUGGGCGUAAAGCGCACGUAGGCGGACUUUUAAGUCAGGGGUGAAAUCCCGGGGCUCAACCCCGGAACUGCCUUUGAUACUGGAAGUCUUGAGUAUGGUAGAGGUGAGUGGAAUUCCGAGUGUAGAGGUAAAAUUCGUAGAUAUUCGGGGGAACACCAGUGGCGAAGGCGGCUCCCUGGACCAUUACUGACGCUGAGGUGCGAAAGCGUGGGGAGCAAACAGG